Molecule: long non-coding RNA, 672 nt
Organism: Oreochromis aureus
Lineage: Eukaryota; Metazoa; Chordata; Actinopteri; Cichliformes; Cichlidae
Source: Ensembl
CUGAGAAUGAGUUUUAAUGAAUUUUUGAAAAUGACAUAAUUGUAGUAUAUUAACUGUAUUGCAUUGAAUACAAGUUUGCUUUAAUAUCUGAGGAAUUUUACAGUAAAUCUGGAUGAAACUUGGCACACAGGUACAUAGGUGUCCCAGAGUAAGAAUCUGUUGAAAGUUGGACAUCAACUACUAAGGAUGAUUUUUAAUGAAUUUUUGAAAAUGACAUAAUUCUAUUUUAUUGACUGUAUUGAAUUGAAUACGAGUUUGCUUUAAUAUCUGAGGAAUUCUACAGUAAAUCUGGCUGAAACUUGGCACAGAGGUACAGUAGGUGUCCCAGAGGAGGGAUGUGUUGAAAGUGGGACAUCAACUACUAAGGAUGAUUUUUAAUGAAUUUUUGAAAAUGACAUAAUUCUGUUGUAUUGACUGUAUUGCAUUGAAUAAAAGUUUCCUUUAAUUUCUGAGGAAUUCUACAGUAAAUCUGGCUGAAACUUGGCACACAGGUACAGUAGGUGUCCCAGAGGAGGGAUGUGUUGAAAGUUGGACAUCAACUACUCAGGACGAUUUUUAAUGAAUUUUUGAAAAUGACAUAAUUGUAGUAUAUUAACUGUAUUGCAUUGAAUACAAGUUUGCUUUAAUAUCUGAGGAAUUUUACAGUAAAUCUGGAUGAAACUUGGCACACAG